RNAcentral lists this ribosomal RNA (778 nucleotides) under Streptomyces sp. DST18. RNAcentral's name for it is "bacterial SSU rRNA". It matches the Rfam family "Bacterial small subunit ribosomal RNA", at positions 62 to 850 of the family's 1533-position model. The record is from RNAcentral. Lineage: Bacteria; Bacillati; Actinomycetota; Actinomycetes; Kitasatosporales; Streptomycetaceae.
UCGAACGAUGAACCGGUUUCGGCCGGGGAUUAGUGGCGAACGGGUGAGUAACACGUGGGCAAUCUGCCCUGCACUCUGGGACAAGCCCUGGAAACGGGGUCUAAUACCGGAUACUGACCUUCACGGGCAUCCGUGGGGGUCGAAAGCUCCGGCGGUGCAGGAUGAGCCCGCGGCCUAUCAGCUUGUUGGUGAGGUAAUGGCUCACCAAGGCGACGACGGGUAGCCGGCCUGAGAGGGCGACCGGCCACACUGGGACUGAGACACGGCCCAGACUCCUACGGGAGGCAGCAGUGGGGAAUAUUGCACAAUGGGCGGAAGCCUGAUGCAGCGACGCCGCGUGAGGGAUGACGGCCUUCGGGUUGUAAACCUCUUUCAGCAGGGAAGAAGCGAAAGUGACGGUACCUGCAGAAGAAGCGCCGGCUAACUACGUGCCAGCAGCCGCGGUAAUACGUAGGGCGCAAGCGUUGUCCGGAAUUAUUGGGCGUAAAGAGCUCGUAGGCGGCUUGUCGCGUCGGUUGUGAAAGCCCGGGGCUUAACCCCGGGUCUGCAGUCGAUACGGGCAGGCUAGAGUUCGGUAGGGGAGAUCGGAAUUCCUGGUGUAGCGGUGAAAUGCGCAGAUAUCAGGAGGAACACCGGUGGCGAAGGCGGAUCUCUGGGCCGAUACUGACGCUGAGGAGCGAAAGCGUGGGGGAGCGAACAGGAUUAGAUACCCUGGUAGUCCACGCCGUUAACGGUGGGCAGUAGGUGUGGGCAACAUUUCCACGUUGUCCGUGCCGCA